GGGAGGAAGAGUCCCAUUUUACAUGUGAAGAAACAGAAAAAAAGGGAUUAAGUCAGAAGUAAUUCUGAGGAUUACACAACUAUUCAGUAUCUGAAGUCAGACUUGAACUCAGGUCUUCAGAAUUCCAGGCCCAAUAUUCUAUCCAUUGUGCCACUUAUUUAUCUCUCAGUAUCAGGGAGAAUCAAGGAAAUGUGCUUCAUGAAGGUGAUGAUAUCUGAACUGAGUUUUAAAUAUACAGAUCCCAAGCACUGGAGAUGAGGAGAGCCUAGAGAGUGGAACCGACUUGGGCAAUGACUCAGGACCUCAGCCUUCUAGGGAGAAAAGUUUCAGAGCCACCCCAGCCUCUUGAGCACAAGAUGAUUGAGCAGCAUUCUCACUUCCAUCUAUGAUUGAACCCAGGCCUUGCAGGCACAAAGACCAAAGUCCUAGGUCACAUGCAAUUCAGAGAGUUUGCCAGCUAAUAAGCAUCAGAAUUAGGACUCAAAGCCAAUACUCUUUCAUUGAAAGUCUAAUGAUCUCUUUAAAUCCAAGGAAAUGGGAAAAAAUAAUCAUAGCCAUUAUCCUACACCAUCUAGAGGUUUCUAGAGGCAGCCUCAUCAACACACAUUUUACUCAUGUUGGUGCCUCCUCAUUAGCUUUCAUAAUGAAUCCAGAUUCCCAGUCCUGUGCUUCAAGGCCUGCUACCACUUGUCUCUACCACUUCUGACAUUAGACAUGAAUAAGUAAAGCGAAUAAGUAAAGGAAUCCUCCAGCUCGAGAUUCUUAUUUUGCAGAUGAAGAAGCUAUGGUCAAGAAAGGAGAAAUGGGUGUUCAAGGUCACACAAUCACUUUAACAAAUGAAAGGGACAUCUUUGAAUGAUCCAGGAGCCCACUUCAUGAAGUUCCCUUCACCUAGCUCCCCCUGACCCUGAGAAUGAGCCCUCUGGGGAGACUCCAGGAAGACAGCCUGAUGACCCCCCCGCCCCUCAUAACAGAAGCCAGUAAAACCGGUUUUCCAGGGCCUGUGAUUAUGGUUGCCUAGUUUCUCUCCCCAUUGCCCAGUUAAAGCAAAUCAUUUGUGGUUCUCAGUAGUUGCUGUCAGACCAUUCCCUACUGCUGUUUAUCCAUCCCACAGAGGAGAGGCUCUUUGAAGCCAGAGACUAUGCCUUCUUUAGCCUAAUCUUACAAAUAUACUAAGUAUCCACAAUUAUCAAGGUAACUAAAUAAAUUGUAACAAAAUUAUUGGAAAGAUGGAUUACUUAGGGGUCUGCCAAUUCAGCAGUCAUUUUAUAAUCACGAUCAUUGUAAAGACCUCAUAUCCAUAAUAACAAGCACUUUAACUGAAAUAUUUUAGUACCUUUUUUUGAUGCUCUUUUUAAAGCACAGCUGCCUAUUCCCAAUAACUUCCCCUAAAACCAUAUCUUGUAUUAAAGAAGUACAUUUGAACAAGCAAACAAAAAACAGCAAUACAAUAUGCCAUAUUCUGUACUCAUAGUCAUCCACAUUUCUACCGAGAGAGGAAGCAUGCUUCAUUCCCAGUUCUCAGAAGUCAUUGUGGUUCAUUGUAUUAAUUAGAAUUCUGAAUUCUUUCAAUAUUGUUUCCUUUAUUUUAAUGUGUUCAUUAGAUAUAUUCUGCUUAUGUUGUUCUGCAUCAGUUCAUAAAAAUGUAGUCAAGUUUCUAUGAUUUCUACAUAUUCAUUGAUUUUUUUGGUAUAAUAAUAUUCCAUUCCAUUCCCUUAAUAUUCCAUAACCCCAACCCAAUCUGAACUCUAUAAUGUGUACAUUUUUGUUCAUAUACCUCAAUUUGAUCAUCCAUUCCCCAAUGGAUGGAUACCCACUUCACUUCAAGUUAUUACUACUAUGAAAAAGCACUGAUAUAAAUAUUUUUAUAUAUUUGGUAUCUUUCUCACUACUUCUUGGGGUUUAUGCCUAAUGAUUAUAUCAUUGGGAAGAAUCAUUAAACUUUUUUGAAGAUAUCUGGUAAGUCCUUUGGGAAUUUUGUUCACUGCUGUGAUUCAGGAAUUAUAGAAUACAAAAAAAGCUAAUGAAAUAGACCAAGUUCAGUACUAGAAAACCUGUGGUUUUUUCAUCAGGAUGGAAACUUCCUCCACUAAGGCAGAUUUCAGUUUAUGACUUAUUAGUAAGUCAGGGGGUUGCCUGAGACUUUAGCAGUUAAGUGACUUGCCCAUAGUCAUUCAGUUAAUAUUGGUCAGAAGCAAGACUUGAAUUCAGAUCUUCUUAACCCUAAGUCCCUCACUCCAUCUACCCAACCACAAUGACUUUCAACUAAUGGGGGGAGAGGGAUAAGGUAAUUCAUUGGGUUUGAUGAUAUUUAGAUUAUAUCCUGAAAAGAUGUUCAGGAACAAAAGAAAGAGCACUGGGUUUAGAGUAAGAUUCUCACUUCAGUAUGUGAACUGAAGCAGAUUCACAUCUUUGCCAUGUAUUUAUUGGCAGUGUGAGUUUAUGCCAUUACUCUUAUCUCCCACUUCAUGCUUCUCCAACCAAUCUCAGUUCCCUCAUUUGUAAAACAAAAGAAAAUGUAUAAAUUUUUUCCUGAGGUCCUUCCUAGUUCUUAAUCCUAUGAUCCUAAGGGUUGCUAUUGCCACAGUUUUGCUUGAAGAAAGGUGUGUUAUGUUAUAAAGUUGGAUUAUUUGAUCCAAAUUUUCAGAGAUAAACACGUGAUGAAUGACAAUAAGGAAGGGAAUUUGGUUCACUUGUUCUAUUUAUAUUAUCAAUAGUUGUAUUUACAUCUAUGAAGUAUUUGUUCUUGAUUUCUUUUUAUGUUUUCACCUCCCAAUGUUUUCAUUCCAUUUAGUGUAUAGUUUUAUGUUAAAUUAUAGAAUACAAGGAAAAUUCCAUUUCCAAGAAGUAUGCAAAUGAGUGUUUGGCAGUGCAACUAGGUUAUGCCAUAUCACAAUGUUAUUAAAUAAUAAUUCUCAAGCCAACAAUGCUUACCGAGUACACCCCAUGUCCUCAGCACCAGGUAAGAAUCUGGUCCUAGGCCUUGGGAAUGACUGUGUAAAUGGUGGCAAUCUCCACUUGUAUUUCCUGAGCUGUGUAGUCUAUUUGAGACCUACAAACAUGGAGUCAUUGGGCAGCAAACUGUUCAUUGGUAUACAAUGUUUUCUAAUAGUCCGUAUUUUGGCUACAGUGAAUUCUUGGUGGUUAAGAGAUUUUAUGGUAAUAUGACACCUCAGGACUAGUUACCCCAGUUCUGAGUACCUUUACUUUACUAAACUUUUCAUGUUUUUAUUGACUUAAGAAUAAACUGCUUAAUUGAGUUAGAUAUGUAAAGAUAGUCCAUUUGGUCUGCCUUUAGGGAAGAGUAAACAAAGACCAAACAGAUGCACAAAGGCUAUGUUAAAGGACUCCCUGGCACUUUGAAGCAACUCAGUUGCACAGUAGUUCUAUGUUUAUAAAUCUUGAGCAGAUCACACUGCACAGCAUAAGUAAGAGAGGGGAUUGCCAGCCCUCACAGUCAUUCCCCAAAGGUUGGGUCCACUGUUCUAUUCCCUCCCCCCCCCACCAUACCUUUUUGUUUCUGCUUCUGGAAAGACAGCAUGAUUACAAGGAGAGACCCCUGGACUUGGAUUGGGAAUGAAUGACUCAGUUCAAGUCUUGGCCCCCAGUGCUUGCUAGUUUUGUGGCUUGAGAAAAUUAUUUAACAUAUCUGGGCCUUGGUUUCUUUUUUGUAAAAUGCGAAUGAUAAUGAUAUUUGUACUCCCUGGCUUAGAGUAAAGCCAAGCAUUUUAAUGUCAGAGACUGAGCCUGGAGUCCUUCAAGCAGAUAAGGGAGGCCCCAGGAAGAUUAGACACACAGCAGGUGCCUGGGAUAUGAAGGUACUCUUACUAUCACUGGCUGAUUCUCCUGGGUAUUUGCUUGCCCUAAUCUCUGCACUGCUUGCCCCCAAAGCCCUAAACUGAUAAGUAAAGUGUUACUCCCAUGGCUAGUUACCCAAACAUAAAUAUAGAACACAAAACAAACCCCAAGGCAUUCUUUUGAAUCAAGGUACAGCUUUAGGAGCUACAGAGAAUGUACACAUGAGAAUGAAAACCCUCAGAAAUUAGUAGGACAUUAGUUUACUUCUCUCAAGAUCCCUUCAUAUUCUCAGAAGACUCAUUUUUGUGUGCUCUUAGUGGUUUCAUCUGUUGCAGAAUAGUGUUUAAAUAGCCUAUCUUUAAAUACUUUAUAGUUAAUUACUUUUGUCUCCAUUCCCAUCCUUAGCUCUUCCAUUUCUUCACACCUCUCCCCUUUACUAUUCUACCCCUAAUGCAAAAGUGUUUUUAGAUAUUCCUCCUUUACUGCCACCAACAUGUGCCUACUUUUAGAAUUCUAGAAAACUAUGUUGUCAUUAUGAUUGUAAUGAUCCUCCCCCUAUUUCCAUCUUUUCUACAGGAUGAUGGUGCUACCCCAUGCUCAGUAGGGAUUAAUGAUCAGACCUGAGGUUUCAUUGAUAUGAAGAAUCUUUAGAUGAGGAAAUUCUCUCUACCAGGAUAGGUCAGCACCAUUUCUGCAAUUUAGAAUCUUGGAGAGUGUUGACUACAUCUCUAAGAGGCUUAGUAACUGGCCCACAAUAGCGUUUGUCAGAGGAAGAAUGUUAACCCAGGUUUUCCUCAUGUCAAAGUCAUCUCUAUUCAUUGACAUUUUGCCUCUCUGGAUACAAGCUGACGCUACAGAUCUUCCUCCAGGAGGGCAUGCUUUAGGGUUGUGUCUCCUGCUAACUCUCUGGUUGUUUUCUACUCUUUCUUCACAGGCAGUCCUUUGCGACCAAAGGCAUGUACUCAGUGCACAUCUGACUCAAAAGAAGGAUACAGUUUGCUGUCAGUAAAUAAAUAGUUCUUCCUUACCAAAUGAUCUAGCAGUUGGACCAGUGACAUUCAGCUUAUCAGCACCAUUCUUAAAUUAGCUCAUUUUUUACAGAUAAGGAAACUGGGGCAAGCAGGAUUAAAUUAUUUGCCCAAGGCCAUAUGGGCAGAUAGUGGCUUAGGUCACAUUUGAAUUCAACACUUCCUGACUCUACUCCACUCCUGAUAUCUACUGUGCUAUCUACCUGCCUUUUUACCGUGUAAAUACAACAAAAAGAAUAUUUUCCAAAUUGUUGCGUUUCUUGUGAUGAAUGCAUUUCUUUAUGUUAUAAAAUACUUUUAUUUUUAUGCAAUUAAAUCUAUCUUGAAUACAAUAAACUUCUCCAUUUACCAACAAGAUGUUGAACAUUCUUCAGUGCACAACUGAUAAAUAUGCUGUCUGCCUUUGUACAUUCCUUUUUUUUCCUUUCUUUCUUUUCUUUUCUUUUCUUUUUUUUUUACAUUUAGGCCAUUGAGACUAUUCAGUAUAGUAUGUGACAGAAGGUAUGGAUCAAAAUUCAUUUUUUAUUGUAAUAAUACCAUCCCACUUAAUUUUCUUAUUAAUGAUUCCUUUCUUCAUUUUUUUGUAACCUUGUUUCUCUAACACUAAUUUCUUACAUGCUUUGAUUCUAUUAGUGACAAUUAAUUUUCUUUGACAAUUGAAAUAAAGAUUUCAUUUCUCCUUCA
Molecule: long non-coding RNA, 5510 nt
Organism: Sarcophilus harrisii (Tasmanian devil)
Lineage: Eukaryota; Metazoa; Chordata; Mammalia; Dasyuromorphia; Dasyuridae
Exons: 5
Source: RefSeq, a predicted model, not a curated record